Molecule: transfer RNA, 66 nt
Filed under: Succinea erythrophana
Lineage: Eukaryota; Metazoa; Mollusca; Gastropoda; Stylommatophora; Succineidae
Description: tRNA-Leu
Source: RNAcentral
UUUUUGAUGGCAGAUAAAUGCGAAGGUUUUAAGCACCUUAUAUGAUAUAUAUUUUUAUUUAUAUCU